UGGCUCUCGCAUCGAUGAAGAACGCAGCGAAAUGCGAUAAGUAAUGUGAAUUGCAGAAUUCAGUGAAUCAUCGAAUCUUUGAACGCACCUUGCGCUCCUUGGUAUUCCGAGGAGCAUGCCUGUUUGAGUGUCAUUAAAUUCUCAACCUCUCUAGUUUUAUUGACUAGUAGAUGGCUUGGAUUUGGGAGUAAAUUUUGCAGGCUUUCACAAGUCAGCUCUCCUUAAAUGUAUUAGCCGGUGUCUUCUAACCGUCUAUUGAUGUGAUAAUUAUCUACGUCGUGGACUAUUAGAAUUUUGCGCUGCUUAUAAUCGUCCGUAUGGACAAUUUUAUGACAUUUUGACCUCAAAUCAGGUAGGACUACCCGCUGA
Molecule: unclassified non-coding RNA, 369 nt
Filed under: uncultured fungus
Lineage: Eukaryota; Fungi
Description: partial contains 5.8S ribosomal RNA and internal transcribed spacer 2
Rfam family: 5.8S ribosomal RNA (bases 1-133)
Source: RNAcentral